This is a long non-coding RNA of Oncorhynchus tshawytscha (Chinook salmon), 510 nucleotides long. NCBI's taxonomy places the organism in Eukaryota, Metazoa, Chordata, Actinopteri, Salmoniformes, Salmonidae. The record is from Ensembl.
AAGCAACUUCUCUCUGAGGUUGGCCGGUAUCCGACGUGCUAUGGAGGCUCUGACAUCCUCAGACAGUACCUCCCUUAAUUACCUCACCCACGCUGGGAGGAUGGUGUUGAGUGGACUGUCCGAGCUCAACCAGCAGAUCAACCACAUCAAUUUCACGGAUGUAUUUUAUGAAUUCGUUCUACUGAGCCUUCUUGACGGAAAAACAUCUCUUCCAACAUCUAGGCCUGGUACCUUCUAUUAUCUGCUCAUGGAAGUGAUGAUGAGGAUUCGCCCUCCUGGAGGAGCCUGGACAGAGUCUGCUGGGAACUUCUACCUCCUCAUUAAGGAUCAGAUGAAGGCGUGGUUGGACUCCAUCUUCAACCUCGAUGAGUCCAUCUAUGAAAGCCCACAGAGGCUCUCGUGGCAGGUGAUGGAGAUUCUAGAAAUGCAGGUUGACUUCCUCCUGUCCAGCCUGGAUUAAGGGUCCCAAACUGAGCUGAGGAUCCCAAACACAAAAUAAAGUAUUUUGCA